Molecule: long non-coding RNA, 2966 nt
Organism: Arachis stenosperma
Lineage: Eukaryota; Viridiplantae; Streptophyta; Magnoliopsida; Fabales; Fabaceae
Exons: 3
Source: RefSeq, a predicted model, not a curated record
AGCGGCGGCAAAUUGCCUGCGGUCUCUCCAAUAGCAGCAAAUUAGAGAAGAUAGCUGCGAUCCCUUCCCAAAUCAUCAAUCCGACGCCAAAUCAUACUGAAUUAGUGUCAAAUCUACGAAGCCCGCCGCUAACCCCAAUUCAUCUAGUGAUUUUACCCAAAUCCAAUUCAGAAUACCCUAAAUCAAGAAAAUGAGAAACCCACCAAGGGAGAGUGCAGAGUGCGAAACUCUUCCCUGCUCACCGUGCCCCGCUGUGUCACCGUGGAGUUGCGUGGCUGCCGAUCCACCUUUCUGUCACUGCCGUCAACCGUUCCCAGAAUCAGAUUCGUAGUUUGUUAUCUUCCUCGCGUGAACACAAAACGGGCAGAGGCAUGAAACGCACCUCCGCGUGCGAAUCCUUGCCGCCGUUCCCCUCCGCCCGUCAGCACCAACUGCAUCGCGCUUCCCGUUGCGGAUGGGUUCUUCGUUUAGAUUACUGAAUUGGGAGCGUGUAACAGGAUUGUGAGCAAAAGCGCGAAUCCCUUCUGCCGUGUAGCACCGCCGGUCAGUACCAGUUGCGUCGUGCUUCCCCAUGCUGGUGGGUCCACCGUUGAUCUGCUCUCUCCUCCUUCUGGUCCCAUUCCUAGGGCAAAAAGGCUUUGUUCAAUUCUGAGAUGGUAAGGGUCCAAAUGAUCAGUCGGAUGUAUCUUAUUGAAUGUUUUGUCACGUGAUUAAGUUAUACCUAUAUCCUUCUUCAUUUUUCAGUGAAUGUAGAUUAGUUGCUGUAACCUACUCAAUUAAUUCCUUUCUCCAAGACAUUAUGAGGUUUAGGGGUGAGCACGGGUCGGUUUGGUUCGGGUUCAAGAUAAAAUUAGAACCGAACCGAUCAAAAAGUAAUUGAUUUGGUUUGGUUCGAAUUUGCAUUUUUUUGUGUUUGUACCCGAACCAAACCAAACCGAUUAAGAGCGGAUUGGUUCGGUUCGGGUAGCGGGUACCCGAUGCCUUUGAAAUUCAUAAAAAAAAAAAACUAAAUUGGGAAAUUUUUAUCUUAAAAAUUCAAGAAAUACAAUAAACAUGUAACAUCAACAGAAAUAAUGCAAACAUAUUAAAUACGAAAUACAUUAAAAACUAAACUCAUCAAAAUCCAAACAUAUUAAUAGUAAAUAAUCUUGUCUAAUGAAAAUAUAAAAGUGCAAUAGAAAUAUUAGAAGUUAAAUACAAAAGUCUAGUGAAUAAUCUUCGAAAGAAGCUAAAACCAAAACACAUUAAAAUUUAAACAUUAGUGAGAUAGGAUUAGCGUUAUGAGUUAGAAAACACAUAAAAAGUCAUAUAUAUAUAUAUAUAUAUAUAUGAUCGGGUAUACGGGUUGGUUCGGGUUCCGCACCCCCAAAACCGAUACCCGAACCAAUCAUCAGCAAAUGUCAUUGGUUUGGUUCGGGUUGGACCCGAUUACCCGUCGGUUCUAAAACCAAUUUGAUUGGUUUGGUUCGGGUUCGGGUGGGUAAUCGGGUACCCGCUACCCGUGCUCACCCCUAAUGAGGUUAGUUUUAUUUUACACUAUUUUUUUGUGUUAAUUUAUAAGGUUAGCUUUAUUUUACACUGUAUUUUGUUUAAGAAUGUGGAACUCCGUAGCCCAUGCUGUAUCUUUAUCAUAUCCUGAUAUGACUCUAGUGCACUGUGCCACCUUUAUCUUCUCUUUUUUAUAUUUUUUUUUAAUUUUUAAAUUUUUUAGAAAAUCAAUUGAUCAUGUAAAUAGAAGCAUGUUUAUGUAGCAGUUUAAGUCUUGCAAUGUAGAAUAUUAUAAAUAUUAGAUAGUACUGAUAUAAAUUUAAAGCACCUAAAAAUAUAGUCUUUAACAGCUUUAUAACACCCCUGCUAACAUACAAUUACAAGAGUUUGAGCUUAUCCUUAUUGAUUUAUUGCUUCCAUUGUCUCAUUCAUGAGUGUAAGAAAUAUAUUUUUUCUUUAGUUACUUGAUCUGAUUCUAGAAUAUGUUGCAAUGAUUACUUAUGUUAACAAUUUAUAUGUAUAUAUGGCCAUUUGUAACUAUUUAAAAGGGCCAUGCUGGGGUAGCUAUAGCAUUUGUUAUUGGAUAAUUUUGUAAAUGCUAUUGUAGCUGGGAUUAAAGCAUGAGGACAAGAUUAAUUUACUUUGUUGAUGCAUGUUUUGCAGCAUUAGCACAAUCUUCUUAGAGUAUUUUAUUUGUAGAAUAAUCAAUUACUAUUAAAAGAGUAAACUUUGCAUAAUGUGUAAAAAAUAAACAAGUAAGGUGGUGAAGGUGUAUAACUAUAUAUAACCUUUGCCUAAUGUGGAGUAGUACAUAAAGCUAAUUGUGUGUUAUUUUCUUUGUUACCACCAUAUUGCCCCUAUGCUAGAAAACAUAGAUACAUAGUAACAGUGACAUUUUUUCUGUUCUAAAUUUUGUAAUUGUUGUGCAUAAGUCUUAGGAAUGAAGUUUUGAUCACAAACACAAAGACACUGCUUAAGUUUGAAGCUUUACAACCUUUUAAAGAUACCCACUAAAGCAUUUUGAAUCCAUAUCACUCACAAAAGAAAUAGAAUCAAAGGCUUUGUUGUUGUUUUUUUUUUCGUUUUGGGCUUCUUAAGCAAUUAUUUUUCUGCAUAAGCUCUUUCCUUUAAACGUCAAAGUCAUACAUACAUAGAUCAUAAAUGAUAGCCACUUAGCCCGCUCCUUCUGCAUUGCUGAUUCUAUGUUUCAAGUAAGCUGUUACUCUUAAUUUCAUUUGAAAUAUAAAGUUAUUUUAUAUUAUUAUUUUUAUUUUUAUAUUUGCCUUUUUAUGUGUAGAGACUGUGCUAAUUUAUCUGAUUCAACGGUAAGGUGGGGAGCUGCCAUCAGACACUCGGAUAAAUUCUUUGGAUAGACAUCGCGAAAAAUAGAAAUUAGGAGUCGUGUGAAAAUUUAGUUGAAGUAUAUGUUUAGUUGACUAUGCAGCUUUAUUAAUUAGUAAAAUAAUUUUUUUUGUGAC